Molecule: ribosomal RNA, 447 nt
Filed under: uncultured bacterium
Lineage: Bacteria
Description: partial 16S ribosomal RNA
Rfam family: Bacterial small subunit ribosomal RNA
Source: RNAcentral
UCCAGACUCCUACGGGAGGCAGCAGUGGGGGAUAUUGCACAAUGGGGGGAACCCUGAUGCAGCGACGCCGCGUGGGUGAAGGAGCGUUUCGGCGCGUAAAGCCCUCUCGGCAGGGAAGAAGGAGGACGGUACCUGACUAAGAAGCCCCGGCUAACUACGUGCCAGCAGCCGCGGUAAUACGUAGGGGGCAAGCGUUAUCCGGAUUUACUGGGUGUAAAGGGGGCGCAGACGGCAGCGCAAGCCAGGAGUGAAAGCCCGGGGCCCAACCCCGGGACUGCUCUUGGAACCGCGCGGCUGGAGUGCAGGAGGGGCAGGCGGAAUUCCUGGUGUAGCGGUGAAAUGCGUAGAUAUCAGGAGGAACACCGGUGGCGAAGGCGGCCUGCUGGACUGCGACUGACGUUGAGGCCCGAAAGCGUGGGGAGCAAACAGGAUUAGAUACCCCGGUAU